GACGAACGCUGGCGGCGUGCCUAAUACAUGCAAGUCGAACGAGAGCGACCGGUGCUUGCACUGGUCAAUCUAGUGGCGAACGGGUGAGUAACACGUGGGUAACCUGCCCAUCAGAGGGGGAUAACAUCCGGAAGCGGAUGCUAAAACCGCAUAGGUCUUCGAGCCGCAUGGCUUGAAGAGGAAAAGAGGCGCAAGCUUCUGCUGAUGGAUGGACCCGCGGUGCAUUAGCUAGUUGGUGAGGUAACGGCUCACCAAGGCCGUGAUGCAUAGCCGACCUGAGAGGGUGAUCGGCCACAUUGGGACUGAGACACGGCCCAAACUCCUACGGGAGGCAGCAGUAGGGAAUCUUCCGCAAUGGACGCAAGUCUGACGGAGCAACGCCGCGUGAGUGAAGAAGGUUUUCGGAUCGUAAAACUCUGUUGUUAGAGAAGAACAAGUGCUAGAGUAACUGUUAGCGCCUUGACGGUAUCUAACCAGAAAGCCACGGCUAACUACGUG
Molecule: ribosomal RNA, 498 nt
Filed under: uncultured bacterium
Lineage: Bacteria
Description: partial 16S ribosomal RNA
Rfam family: Bacterial small subunit ribosomal RNA
Source: RNAcentral